Long non-coding RNA from Lethenteron reissneri (Far Eastern brook lamprey), 531 nucleotides. RefSeq lists it as uncharacterized. The record is from RefSeq and is a predicted model, not a curated record. Lineage: Eukaryota; Metazoa; Chordata; Hyperoartia; Petromyzontiformes; Petromyzontidae.
CAAAGCAAACCCCUUAAUUUACGUCACCUCAACGCAAGUAGAAAACGUCGCAGGGACUGCCACCAGCGAGGCUCCCGUUCACGUGGGGGCCCCAUGCGUUCGCUUGCACGAAUGCUGCGCCAAGGGAAACCGUGAGCCAUGAUGAUGACGGCGGGGAUGAUGGUGAUGGUCGUGAUGGUGUUACCUGUGCGUACAGAGAUGGCUCAUCUGACUCUGAUGGAAGGACAAGAUUUGAGACUGGCAUGUCAUUUCAGAGUGAACAACACGCUUGGGUCUUCUCUACGUUGGGAAUACAAAGCAACGGAUAUCCUGGGAAAAGCAGAAACUAUCGUAUUCUGCAACGAUGAAUUAAAUCCUCCCUGUUAUGUUCAGCAAUCAUUUUCACGAGUGGAGUUUUCUGGAGACUUGAAGAGGGGGAAUGGCUCCAUCACCAUCAAGAGAGUCACCCUCAAUGAUAGCGGCGUCUAUUCAUGUACAGUCAAUCAUGAGAAAGAUUUUUAUAAGACAAGGGUGGAGAUCUUGUAUACCACA